RNAcentral lists this ribosomal RNA (497 nucleotides) under uncultured bacterium. RNAcentral's name for it is "partial 16S ribosomal RNA". It matches the Rfam family "Bacterial small subunit ribosomal RNA", at positions 28 to 507 of the family's 1533-position model. The record is from RNAcentral.
GAUGAACGCUGGCGGCGUGCCUAAUACAUGCAAGUCGAGCGAACAGACGAGGAGCUUGCUCCUCUGACGUUAGCGGCGGACGGGUGAGUAACACGUGGAUAACCUACCUAUAAGACUGGGAUAACUUCGGGAAACCGGAGCUAAUACCGGAUAAUAUAUUGAACCGCAUGGUUCAAUAGUGAAAGACGGUUUUGCUGUCACUUAUAGAUGGAUCCGCGCCGCAUUAGCUAGUUGGUAAGGUAACGGCUUACCAAGGCAACGAUGCGUAGCCGACCUGAGAGGGUGAUAGGCCACACGGGAACUGAGACACGGUCCAGACUCCUGCGGGAGGCAGCAGUAGGGAAUCUUACGCAAUGGGCGAAAGCCUGACGGAGCAACGCCGCGUGAGUGAUGAAGGUCUUCGGAUCGUAAAACUCUGUUAUUAGGGAAGAACAAAUGUGUAAGUAACUAUGCACGUCUUGACGGUACCUAAUCAGAAAGCCACGGCUAACUACGUG